GACGAACGCUGGCGGCGUGCUUAACACAUGCAAGUCGAACGGAAAGGCCCUGCUUUUGUGGGGUGCUCGAGUGGCGAACGGGUGAGUAACACGUGAGUAACCUGCCCUUGACUUUGGGAUAACUUCAGGAAACUGGGGCUAAUACCGGAUAGGAGCUCCUGCUGCAUGGUGGGGGUUGGAAAGUUUCGGCGGUUGGGGAUGGACUCGCGGCUUAUCAGCUUGUUGGUGGGGUAGUGGCUUACCAAGGCAUUGACGGGUCGCCGGCCUGGGAGGGUGGCCGGCCACAUUAGGACUGAGAUACGGCCCAGACUCCUACGGGAGGCAGCAGUGGGGAAUAUUGCACAAUGGGCGGAAGCCUGAUGCAGCAACGCCGCGUGCGGGAUGACGGCCUUCGGGUUGUAAACCGCUUUCGCCUGUGACGAAGCGUGAGUGACGGUAAUGGGUAAAGAAGCACCGGCUAACUACGUG
RNAcentral lists this ribosomal RNA (468 nucleotides) under uncultured bacterium. Its description in RNAcentral is "partial 16S ribosomal RNA". It matches the Rfam family "Bacterial small subunit ribosomal RNA", at positions 28 to 507 of the family's 1533-position model. The record is from RNAcentral.